UACGAAGGGGGCUAGCGUUGCUCGGAAUCACUGGGCGUAAAGGGUGCGUAGGCGGCGCGGUAAGUCGGGUGUGAAAUCUUGGAGCUUAACUCCGAAACUGCAUUCGAUACUGCCGUGCUUGAGGACUGGAGAGGAGACUGGAAUUUACGGUGUAGCGGUGAAAUGCGUAGAUAUCGUAAGGAAGACCAGUGGCGAAGGCGGGUCUCUGGACAGUUCCUGACGCUGAAGCACGAAGGCCAGGGGAGCAAACGGG
Molecule: ribosomal RNA, 253 nt
Filed under: uncultured bacterium
Lineage: Bacteria
Description: partial 16S ribosomal RNA
Rfam family: Bacterial small subunit ribosomal RNA
Source: RNAcentral